AUGAGUAUAGGUUAAUGGUAAACUAAAUGUCUUCCACACAUUGUAUGUGAGUUCGAUUCUCACUACUCAUA
This 71-nucleotide transfer RNA is filed under the name Waltiozyma mucosa. Its description in RNAcentral is "Wickerhamomyces mucosus tRNA". It matches the Rfam family "tRNA". Rfam says of the family: Transfer RNA (tRNA) molecules are approximately 80 nucleotides in length. The record is from Rfam by way of RNAcentral. Lineage: Eukaryota; Fungi; Ascomycota; Saccharomycetes; Phaffomycetales; Wickerhamomycetaceae.